AUUGAACGCUGGCGGCAUGCUUUACACAUGCAAGUCGAACGGUAACAGGCCGCCAGGUGCUGACGAGUGGCGAACGGGUGCGUAAUGCAUCGGAACGUGCCCAGUCGUUGGGGAUAACUACUCGAAAGAGUAGCUAAUACCGCAUACGAUCUAUGGAUGAAAGCGGGGGACCGUAAGGCCUCGCGCGAUUGGAGCGGCCGAUGUCAGAUUAGGUAGUUGGUGGGGUAAAGGCUCACCAAGCCAACGAUCUGUAGCUGGUCUGAGAGGACGACCAGCCACACUGGGACUGAGACACGGCCCAGACUCCUACGGGAGGCAGCAGUGGGGAAUUUUGGACAAUGGGCGCAAGCCUGAUCCAGCAAUGCCGCGUGCAGGAAGAAGGCCUUCGGGUUGUAAACUGCUUUUGUACGGAACGAAACGGCUCUGGUUAAUACCCGGGGCUAAUGACGGUACCGUAAGAAUAAGCACCGGCUAACUACGUG
RNAcentral lists this ribosomal RNA (482 nucleotides) under uncultured bacterium. RNAcentral describes it as "partial 16S ribosomal RNA". It matches the Rfam family "Bacterial small subunit ribosomal RNA", at positions 30 to 507 of the family's 1533-position model. The record is from RNAcentral.